This is an unclassified non-coding RNA of Colobus angolensis palliatus, 310 nucleotides long. Its record names the gene 7SK. It matches the Rfam family "7SK RNA". Rfam says of the family: 7SK was discovered as an abundant small nuclear RNA in the mid-70s but a possible function has only recently been suggested. Two independent studies have found that 7SK RNA binds the CDK9/cyclin T complex (known as elongation factor P-TEFb). The record is from Ensembl. NCBI's taxonomy places the organism in Eukaryota, Metazoa, Chordata, Mammalia, Primates, Cercopithecidae.
GGAUGUGAGGGCGAUCCGGCUGCGACAUCUGUCACUCCAUCAGUCACCAAGGUUGGUUAGCUCAUCUGGCUGGCGUCCCCUUCCUCCCUCACCGUUCCACGUGCGUCCCUCCUGAAGCUGUGCGCUUGGCUGAAGAGGACGACCACCUCCAAUAGAGGAGAAGCGGUCUUCGGUCCAGGGUAUGAGUAGCUGCACCCCCUGCUAGAACCUCCAAACAAGCUCUCAAAUACACCUAUUUUCUGAAGUCCCUCAUCUUAUCACCCUCUUCUUUUAUUUUAUUAAGUAUAUUAAACAUGCAAUAUCAUGUAUU